This 3035-nucleotide long non-coding RNA is filed under the name Canis lupus familiaris (dog). Its description in RNAcentral is "lncRNA (ENSCAFG00030008802.1)". Lineage: Eukaryota; Metazoa; Chordata; Mammalia; Carnivora; Canidae. The record is from RNAcentral.
AUGCCGACCUCUCUCUCUGCACCCUCUUUACCGUUCACUCUGCCAAGACCAAGGGUCACACCUGCCGCCCCCGGGCCUGCCCCACAGUGCCCUCCCAGCAGAGGAAGUGACUCGAGUCCUCCAAGCCAGCGGAGACUCCCAUGGCUCAAGGCCACCAACCUGUGCCACCUUGGCUGGUCUGCAUCUGUCUCUCCUCACAGGAAUUUACGCUCCCUGGAAGGCAGCAAAUGCACCCAAACUGAUGACUUCGCUGCCCGGCGUGUGUUCAGCAAAUGCACAAGUGAGUUGAUCACAUAAAAGCAACUCAGAUUAGGCAGGGGGACGGUCCAUCCCCCAACCCCGCUGCCCAGUGAGAGGAGAGGAGACUUUGGGCCCCGUGACAUCUGACUCCACGACUCUGAGAAGCUAAAGAAGCUUUGCCGCAUGUUAAUAUAGCCGGCUGGAUGCAAAUAAACUCAAACUGGACUCCAAAGUCAUUAUUUCAUCGUACUACUUAAAAAAUUUUUUAAGAUUUUAUUUAUUUAUUCAUGAGAGACACAGAGAGAGGCAAAGACACAGGCAGAGGGAGAAGCAGGCUUCCCAUGGGGAGCUCGAUGUGGGACUCGAUCCCAGGACCUGAGCCAGAGGCAGACGCUCAACCACUGAGCUACCCAGAUGCCCACUUUUUAAAAUUUUCAUACUGCGAACAUGUCUAAAUGCACAGGAUGUGCCAUAUGCCUCGAGGUAGUGAGUUUUGUGAAAGUCCACAGAAGGGAAAGCUCAACUGCAGUAGUGUUUCAUACAAAGGGUCAUUCUUCCAACUGUAAGGUAUGAAAAAUGCAAAUUUAACCUAUUCUCCUUGCUUAAAAAAAAAAAAGUCAAAUACAGAGGAAGAAUGAUGAAGUGGUGGGUGAAGAAAGGUGGGUGCCACAAGGACACAGCUAAGGAACUGCCAGUGGAGCCAGAAGGACGGACUCCCAGUGCAGGCUGAGCAGUGGGCUCGCUGUCCCAGCCGCUCCAAAUCCAGCAGCGUGCUUAUGUCAGCAACUAGUAAAAUGAAAAAAGUCAAGCAGCAGAAACACUAGCAGCUUUCGCUCGACAAACACACAGCAAAUGCAGCCUGGACAAGAAGUUUCUCCUUUUCCUACUUGACUACGUCACAUGUAAAGUGACAUGAAUCAGUUUGUGAAAGCAGCGGAAGAAUGAGCCUGCAAGGAAAAGCAUUCCUACCUACUUUAGAAAAAAACAAGUGUAUGUUUAAAAUAUUAAAAUCACUCAGGCAUAAGAAAUACCAGAUGUUGGCGAGGAUGUGGAGGAAAAGGAACCGUCGUGCUCGUGAAUUAAUACAGCACCAUGGAGAACAGUACGGAGGUCCUCAAAAAGGUAAAAAUAGAAUUAGCACAGAAUCCAGUAAUUCUAGUAGUGGGUAUUUACCCAAAGGAAACGAAAACAUCAAUUUAGCAAGAUAAGUGCACCCCGGAGUUUGCUGCAGGUCAUCUACGGUAGUGAAGGUCUAGAAGCAACGUGAGGUGCCCAGCGAUGGAUGGAUGAUGGAUGGAUGGAUGGAUAAAGACGUGCUACCGAUUGAUAAUGGAAUAUUACUCAGCCAUAAAAAGAAUGAGAUCUUGCCAUUUGCAACAACGUGGAUGGAGUGAGGGGGCAUCAUGCUAGGGAAAUGAGUCAGUCCGAGAAAGACAAAUACCAUAUGGUUUCUCAUGUGAGGAAUCUAAAAAACAGGCCAGCAAGAGCAGAAGCAGAGCCGUGAAUACAGAGAACAAAGUGGUGGCUGCAGAGGGGAGGAGUGCAGGGUCGGGCGAAGGGGAGGAGCUCCAGCUUCCAGUCGGGAUGGAUGAGUCCCGGCAGGAACAGCGCCGCAGGGGGGCCCAGUCCUGCCGUUGUCAUGGGGACACGUGGUGACAGGUGCAGCCACAGGCCUGGCCACAGCGUAACACACACAUGUGUUGUCACAUCACCAUGUUGUGUGCCCGACGUUAACAUGACAGCGUGUGUCCGGUGCACUUCAAUUGAAAACAUUUUUAAAGCAAAGAACAAAAAAGGCUGAGAUACUGGGAUGAGCUACAGAAGCUGAGAAGCAGCUCGCCGAGUGACAGAGUGUGUGCUCCCUGCAGCGUCCUGGCCAGGCAAGUCUCUGCCCAAGCUGGCCAGCGUCGGGGGCUAACAGGGGGCUAACAGUGGGGAGGGACCCGCAGGUGGCAAGGUCCCCAGCUCGGCACGGUACUGGAGGCCAGUUAGAGCUGCAAAAUCUGAUUGAAAAUAUUAGAAUAAAAAAUGAAAAAUAAACAAUUGAACUUUAAACACAAAAUUAUUUAGUCAUGACAUGAAAUAUAGUUGUUUUUUUUUUUUACUGAACAAAAAUAACAAACUGUUUUGAGCAAUUUCACCUUUCUCUUCCGGUUCAUUCACACAGGAAAGAGAAAGAUAAACUGUUUUCUGUAAGCGCCCAAGGAGAUCUGUUUACGGAGGCAGAGAACAUUCUGGAAGGCUCAGCCUCUGGGAGCGGCCGGGGCCUCACCGCCCACGCCCAGCCCGAGCAGCCAGGACCGGGCUCCCAGAGAGUGCUCUGACCCACAACUGUUCCUUGAGAUCUAACAUAUUUAAAAAUAAAUAAAAUAGAAGUUUCAAAAAAUGGAAGUCUUUAAACAAAAGCUCCCAGGUAAAAGUACAGUUUUACCCCAAUUUUAGAGCAGUCAUUCUGCCCAGUUUUCGAGGGGGAGAAGACUCCUGUGUCACGGCAAGGGUGGCGUUGGGCCGCAGGCCCCCUGUCGCUCAGGAAGGCCACUGAGCUCCCUCCCUGGGUCCUCGGGUCCCCGGGUCCCCUGGCCUCAGGCAGAGUCCCGGGAGGCUGCGUGGGGCCAGAUGCUCGGGGGCUCAGUGCCUCUGCGCCCCACGGUGGCCGUCCCUCCACUGCCCUUCCGCAGGCCUCGUGGGGGCGUUGGCUUUGCUCUUACCUCUCGGGGUUUGUUUCAGUUGGUUUUGCUUUGGGUUUUCUGGACCUUGCCCAGAGGUCACUGAUUCUUCACCCUCCCUCACGGCCC